RNAcentral lists this ribosomal RNA (372 nucleotides) under Triticum aestivum (bread wheat). RNAcentral describes it as "partial small subunit ribosomal RNA". Lineage: Eukaryota; Viridiplantae; Streptophyta; Magnoliopsida; Poales; Poaceae. The record is from RNAcentral.
AUGCAGUUCUGGUCGCUUGCCGGGGCGGAGGAGGCCCUCGGGGACAUCGACCGCCUCGACUCGCGCACGCUCGAGAGGGGGCACACAAAAUUUUUCGCCUGCUGGCUCUGGGUAUGGGAUGUAGCCCAUAUCCCGACGAGGCGCGCGCUCUGGGUGCUCAAGCGGGGCGCAGGCCGCACCGAUGAGGUGCUCGGCUUCGCUUCGCUCGACCGCCGCGUCCCUCCGCCUCCUGGUGCGACCGCUAACGACCUCCUCUUGCAGGUCGACUUGGUGGAGGAUUGGACCCCGCUCUCGCCAUGCUCGUCGCACUCGGGGCAUAGCGAGCUCUCUUCCUCCUACGACGAGGACGACCUCCAGCUGCCGCACAUCUAG